Molecule: ribosomal RNA, 340 nt
Filed under: uncultured Bacillota bacterium
Lineage: Bacteria; Bacillati; Bacillota
Description: bacterial SSU rRNA
Rfam family: Bacterial small subunit ribosomal RNA
Source: RNAcentral
GAUGAACGCUGGCGGCGUGCCUAACACAUGCAAGUCGAGCGGUAUAUACUGGAACGAAACUUCGGUCUAGAGAAGGUAUAGAGAGCGGCGGACGGGUGAGUAACGCGUAGGCAACCUGCCCCAUACAGAGGGAUAGCCUCGGGAAACCGGGAUUAAAACCUCAUAACACGAGAGUUUCACAUGUUACUUUCGUCAAAGAUUUAUCGGUAUGGGAUGGGCCUGCGUCUGAUUAGCUAGUUGGUGAGGUAACGGCUCACCAAGGCAACGAUCAGUAGCCGACCUGAGAGGGUAAUCGGCCACAUUGGAACUGAGACACGGUCCAAACUCCUACGGGAGGCAG